ACUCCCUACGGGAGGCAGCAGUAGGGAAUAUUCCCACAAUGAGCGAAAGCUUGAUGGAGCGACACAGCGUGCACGAUGAAGGUCUUCGGAUUGUAAAGUGCUGUUAUAAGGGAAGAACAUUUGCAAUAGGAAAUGAUUGCAGACUGACGGUACCUUGUCAGAAAGCGAUGGCUAACUAUGUGCCAGCAGCCGCGGUCAUACAUAGGUCGCAAGCGUUAUCCGGAAUUAUUGGGCGUAAAGCGUUCGUAGGCUGUUUGUUGAGGUGUGGAGUUAAAUCCCGGGGCUCAACCCCGGCUCGCUUUGGAUACUAGCAAACUAGAGUUAGAUAGAGGUAAGCGGAAUUCCAUGUGAAGCGGUGAAAUGCGUAGAUAUAUGGAAGAACACCAAAGGCGAAGGCAGCUUACUGGGUCUAUACUGACGCUGAGGGACGAAAGCGUGGGGAGCAAACAGGAUUAGAUACCCUGGUAGUCCACGCCGUAAACGAUGAUCAUUAGUCGGUGGAGAAUCACUGACGCAGCUAACGCAUUAAAUGAUCCGCCUGAGUAGUAUGCUCGCAAGAGUGAAACUUAAAGGAAUUGACGGGGACCCGCACAAGCGGUGGAGCAUGUGGUUUAAUUUGAAGAUACACGGAAAACCUUACCCACUCUUGACAUCCUUCGCAAAGCUAUAGAGAUAUAGUGGAGGUUAACAGAGUGACAGAUGGUGGCA
RNAcentral lists this ribosomal RNA (708 nucleotides) under Metamycoplasma hominis. Its description in RNAcentral is "bacterial SSU rRNA". It matches the Rfam family "Bacterial small subunit ribosomal RNA", at positions 335 to 1045 of the family's 1533-position model. Lineage: Bacteria; Bacillati; Mycoplasmatota; Mycoplasmoidales; Metamycoplasmataceae. The record is from RNAcentral.